GUGCCAGCCGCCGCGGUAAUACGGAGGAUGCAAGCGUUAUCCGGAUUUAUUGGGUUUAAAGGGUGCGUAGGCGGAGCUUUAAGUCAGCGGUGAAAUAUGUCGGCUUAACCGGCAGGCUGCCGUUGAUACUGAAGUUCUGGAGUCCGAACGGCGCCGGCGGAAUAUGUCAUGUAGCGGUGAAAUGCAUAGAUAUGACAUAGAACACCGAUCGCGAAGGCAGCUGGCGAGGACGAGACUGACGCUGAGGCACGAAAGCGUGGGGAUCAAACAGGAUUAGAUACCCUGGUUAGUCCACGCAGUUUACGAUGAUAACUUGUUGUCGGCGAUAUAGUGUCGGUGACAAAGCGAAAGCGAUACGUUAUCCACCUGNGGAGUACGAUCGCAAGGUUGACACUCAAAGGAAUUGACGGGGGCCCGCACAAGCGGAGGAGCAUGUGGUUUAAUUUCGAUGAUACGCGAGGAACCUUACCUAGACUCAAAUGUUGGAUGACCGGUCCAGAAAUGGACCAUUCCUUCGGGACAUCCAGCAAGGUGCUGCAUGGUUGUCGUCAGCUCGUGCCGUGAGGUGUCAGGUUAAGUCCUAUAACGAGCGCAACCCCUACGUCCAGUUGCCAGCGGGUAAGGCCGGGGACUUCUGGAGGGACUGCCGGCGCAAGCCGAGAGGAAGGUGGGGAUGACGUCAAAUCAGCACGGCCCUUACGUCUAGGGCGACACACGUGCUACAAUGGCCGGUACAGAGGGCAGCUACCUGGUGACAGGAUGCGAAUCUCGAAAGCCGGUCUCAGUUCGGAUCGGAGUCUGCAACCCGACUCCGUGAAGUUGGAUUCGCUAGUAAUCGCGCAUCAGCCAUGGCGCGGUGAAUACGUUCCCGGGCCUUGUACACACCGCCCGU
This 892-nucleotide ribosomal RNA is filed under the name uncultured bacterium. Its description in RNAcentral is "bacterial SSU rRNA". It matches the Rfam family "Bacterial small subunit ribosomal RNA", at positions 505 to 1397 of the family's 1533-position model. The record is from RNAcentral.